GCGAGGGGGAGCAGGCAAGAGGAAGACCGCAGCAGAGUUACGCCUGGCAGGAAAGCGCCGGCAAAAUCCGCUCACGGGUCCAGGGCCCGCAGGGAGAGCGAAUCCGGCCCUGGGCCUUCGGCCGCUGGGACCGAGCUGCCCGGGGGGUCAUCAUCGGGGGAAGAGGGGUUGUGCGAGGACCAGUCGGAUGGGGAGCUGUCCGGUUCGGAGGAGGAGGUCGUGCCCAGGACGGUGCCUACAGCGAGGGAUUCCAGACGAUCGGCUGAUGGGAUUGCUUCCACGCAGCCCGGUACUGGACCUUUGUUGGUCUGGAUUUUGGGCCACUCUUACGUGGUUCGGGGGGAAAAACGGGCGGAGGCGCGCCCGUCCGGUCGGCAACUGGGGAUUUCGAGACAGGAGGCGAGGGUACGGUGGUUGGGGGUCCCCGGGAUGUUAUGGAGCAGAGUUGUGCCGGAGGUACACAAAUGGGCACGUUUGGACAGACCUCCGGAGGUGCUAGUGAUUCAUGCUGGGGGCAAUGAUCUUGGGGUGAGAUCUAUGCUGGAGAUAGCGCGGGAUAUUAAAUUCGAUUUUCAGCGGCUCCGGUUGUCUUUCCCGGAGACGGUAGUGGUGUGGUCGGACAUGGUGGCUAGGACAUCGUGGAGGAUGGCGAGGUCGGUAGACGCGGU
Molecule: long non-coding RNA, 668 nt
Organism: Rana temporaria (common frog)
Lineage: Eukaryota; Metazoa; Chordata; Amphibia; Anura; Ranidae
Exons: 2
Source: RefSeq, a predicted model, not a curated record